RNAcentral lists this ribosomal RNA (306 nucleotides) under Triticum aestivum (bread wheat). RNAcentral's name for it is "partial small subunit ribosomal RNA". The record is from RNAcentral. Lineage: Eukaryota; Viridiplantae; Streptophyta; Magnoliopsida; Poales; Poaceae.
GGGGACUUCAAUGAAAUUAUGGUUGCCAGUGAAAAGGAAGGUGGAAAUACCAGAUCGCAACAAUACAUGCAGGACUUCAGAGACUGCAUGGAUGACCGUGAGUUACAAAAAGUGAUGACCAUUGGUGAUACUUUUACAUGGAGUAGAGGAGUUAUCGGAGAAAGGCUCGAUAGAGCUUUAUGCAACGAACAAUGGGCCAAGGAGUUCCUUUAUGUGGCUUUAAUCCAUGAGCAUCAUGUCCAUUCAGAUCACAUGCCAAUUAUGUCGACGCAACUUAUUUUUCUGCGGUCAUGGGACAACAGAUGA